This is a long non-coding RNA of Coregonus clupeaformis (lake whitefish), 784 nucleotides long. RefSeq lists it as uncharacterized. The record is from RefSeq and is a predicted model, not a curated record. The transcript is spliced from 3 exons. NCBI's taxonomy places the organism in Eukaryota, Metazoa, Chordata, Actinopteri, Salmoniformes, Salmonidae.
UGCUCCUAUGAGGGUGAUCCUUAACUUGACAUGGUAUAUUUGUGUACGUUCGGAAUUUAGCGGCGUGGGCUGUGGCCUGAACAAUAGCCCAGUUUAGGAAUAAACCUGUGUUCUCUUUUUCCUUUAUGACCCAGGCGGGUCAUUACAAUAUUAUUUGAUACAAUAAUACACAAUUGGGAAAAAGGAACAUUUCCCUGCCAACUAUUAGCCCUCUCGAAAAAAAAAACACCCAUUCCACUAUUUCACCCUACCUAGUCCUACUCCAGACCACCUGUCUGAGAGGAAAUAACACUACCACUCAACACCUUUCUCCUUCCUUGGGCUGAAGACCGACGUCAGCUGAUGAAAAAUGUUCUGGGAAGCAAAGCAACCAUGCGACCGAGAGUGUUUAUUGGGGUGUAAUCAUUAGUCAAAAACGUCAAACGGAAGCCGUUUACUCCAAACGUAAAACGUUUUGCAACGAAAACGAGUUUAUGUAUUGGACAAAUUCAGGCCCCUCCCCGUUUCGUUCAGUUGGGUUCCUAGUGAAUACGCCCCCAGGUGAGCUCGCGACCGACCAGCAGCAAUGAGGAGCGCUUCAUUCUGACAACAACAACACACUGCAUGCAAAAAUGUGGACAGAGGUGAAAAACCACACCAAAAUGAUCUUUCACGAUGGAAACACAUCAGAGCCAGGGGCACACUCCAACACAUAAUUUACAAACUACGCAUGUGUUUAGGGAGUCGGCCAGAUCAGAGGCAGAAGGGAUGACCAGCCGCCUCCGUCAUUUUAGAGAAUUUGGCA